CAGCAGUAAGGAAUAUUGGUCAAUGGAGGCAACUCUGAACCAGCCAUGCCGCGUGCAGGAAGACAGCCCUCUGGGUCGUAAACUGCUUUUAUUCGGGAAUAAACCUACUUACGUGUAAGUAGCUGAAUGUACCGAAGGAAUAAGGAUCGGCUAACUCCGUGCCAGCAGCCGCGGUAAUACGGAGGAUCCAAGCGUUAUCCGGAUUUAUUGGGUUUAAAGGGUGCGUAGGCGGCUUUUUAAGUCAGGGGUGAAAGACGGUAGCUCAACUAUCGCAGUGCCCUUGAUACUGAAGAGCUUGAAUGGACUAGAGGUAGGCGGAAUGUGACAAGUAGCGGUGAAAUGCAUAGAUAUGUCACAGAACACCGAUUGCGAAGGCAGCUUACUAUGGUUUAAUUGACGCUGAGGCACGAAAGCGUGGGGAUCAAACAGGAUUAGAUACCCUGGUAGUCC
Molecule: ribosomal RNA, 450 nt
Filed under: uncultured bacterium
Lineage: Bacteria
Description: bacterial SSU rRNA
Rfam family: Bacterial small subunit ribosomal RNA
Source: RNAcentral